AUACUUACCUGGCAGGGGAGACACCAUGAUCAAUCAGGUGGUUUUCCCAGGGUAAUUGUCUCUGAUAUGUCCUCCAUAGGAGGUCUAUGUUGAGCAGAUUCUUUCUGGUAUUGGGUGGUGGAACUGGAGCGUGCUCCAUCCACUC
Molecule: small nuclear RNA, 145 nt
Organism: Crocodylus porosus (Australian saltwater crocodile)
Lineage: Eukaryota; Metazoa; Chordata; Crocodylia; Crocodylidae
Gene: U1
Rfam family: U1 spliceosomal RNA
About the family: U1 is a small nuclear RNA (snRNA) component of the spliceosome (involved in pre-mRNA splicing).
Source: Ensembl